GUGCCUAACACAUGCAAGUCGAACGAAGCAAUUAAGAUGAAGUUUUCGGAUGGAAUCUUGAUUGACUGAGUGGCGGACGGGUGAGUAACGCGUGGAUAACCUGCCUCACACUGGGGGAUAACAGUUAGAAAUGACUGCUAAUACCGCAUAAGCGCACAGUGCCGCAUGGCAGUGUGUGAAAAACUCCGGUGGUGUGAGAUGGAUCCGCGUCUGAUUAGCCAGUUGGCGGGGUAACGGCCCACCAAAGCGACGAUCAGUAGCCGACCUGAGAGGGUGACCGGCCACAUUGGGACUGAGACACGGCCCAAACUCCUACGGGAGGCAGCAGUGGGGAAUAUUGCACAAUGGGCGAAAGCCUGAUGCAGCGACGCCGCGUGAGUGAAGAAGUAUUUCGGUAUGUAAAGCUCUAUCAGCAGGGAAGAAAAUGACGGUACCUGACUAAGAAGCCCCGGCUAACUACGUGCCAGCAGCCGCGGUAAUACGUAGGGGGCAGGCGUUAUCCGGAUUUACUGGGUGUAAAGGGAGCGUAGACGGCGAAGCAAGUCUGAAGUGAAAACCCAGGGCUCAACCCUGGGACUGCUUUGGAAACUGUUUUGCUAGAGUGUCGGAGAGGUAAGUGGAAUUCCUAGUGUAGCGGUGAAAUGCGUAGAUAUUAGGAGGAACACCAGUGGCGAAGGCGGCUUACUGGACGAUAACUGACGUUGAGGCUCGAAAGCGUGGGGAGCAAACAGGAUUAGAUACCCUGGUGGUCCACGCCGUAAACGAUGAAUGCUAGGUGUUGGGGGGCAAAGCCCUUCGGUGCCGCCGCAAACGCAGUAAGCAUUCCACCUGGGGAGUACGUUCGCAAGAAUGAAACUCAAAGGAAUUGACGGGGACCCGCACAAGCGGUGGAGCAUGUGGUUUAAUUCGAAGCAACGCGAAGAACCUUACCAAGUCUUGACAUCCCCCUGACGGGCCGGUAACGCGGCCUUUCCUUCGGGACAGGGGAGACAGGUGGUGCAUGGUUGUCGUCAGCUCGUGUCGUGAGAUGUUGGGUUAAGUCCCGCAACGAGCACAACCCUUAUCCUUAGUAGCCAGCACGCGAAGGUGGGCACUCUAGGGAGACUGCCAGGGAUAACCUGGAGGAAGGUGGGGAUGACGUCAAAUCAUCAUGCCCCUUAUGAUUUGGGCUACACACGUGCUACAAUGGCGUAAACAAAGGGAAGCGAGACAGUGAUGUGGAGCAAAUCCCAAAAAUAACGUCCCAGUUCGGACUGUAGUCUGCAACCCGACUACACGAAGCUGGAAUCGCUAGUAAUCGCGAAUCAGAAUGUCGCGGUGAAUACGUUCCCUGGUCUUGUACACACCGCCCGUCACACCAUGGGAGUCAGCAACGCCCGAAGUCAGUGACCCAACCGAAAGGAGGGAGCUGCCGAAGGCGGGGCAGGUAACUGGGGUGAAAU
This 1442-nucleotide ribosomal RNA is filed under the name uncultured organism. RNAcentral describes it as "SSU rRNA". It matches the Rfam family "Bacterial small subunit ribosomal RNA". The record is from RNAcentral.